RNAcentral lists this ribosomal RNA (253 nucleotides) under uncultured bacterium. Its description in RNAcentral is "partial 16S ribosomal RNA". It matches the Rfam family "Bacterial small subunit ribosomal RNA", at positions 524 to 776 of the family's 1533-position model. The record is from RNAcentral.
UACGUAGGGUGCGAGCGUUGUCCGGAACUACUGGGCGUAAAGAGCUCGUAGGUGGUUUGUCGCGUUGUCCGUGAAAACUCACAACUCAAUUGUGGGCGUGCGGGCGAUACGGGCAGACUGGAGUACUGCAGGGGAGACUGGAAUUCCUGGUGUAGCGGUGGAAUGCGCAGAUAUCAGGAGGAACACCGGUGGCGAAGGCGGGUCUCUGGGCAGUAACUGACGCUGAGGAGCGAAAGCGUGGGGAGCGAACAGG